This 329-nucleotide ribosomal RNA is filed under the name uncultured eukaryote. RNAcentral describes it as "partial 18S ribosomal RNA". It matches the Rfam family "Eukaryotic small subunit ribosomal RNA", at positions 1470 to 1796 of the family's 1831-position model. The record is from RNAcentral.
CCCUUAGAUGUUCUGGGCCGCACGCGCGCUACACUGAUGAAUUCAACGAGCUCCUAACCUAGGCCGAAGGGUCCGGGUAAUCUUUGAAAUUUCAUCGUGAUGGGGAUAGAUUAUUGCAAUUAUUAAUCUUCAACGAGGAAUUCCUAGUAAGCGCGAGUCAUCAGCUCGCGUUGAUUACGUCCCUGCCCUUGUACACACCGCCCGUCGCUCCUACCGAUUGAAUGGUCCGGUGAAAUGUUCGGACCGCGACAAGGCGGACGGUUCGCUGUCAGCUUUGCUGCGGGAAGUUCAUUAAACCUUAUCAUUUAGAGGAAGGAGAAGUCGUAACA